Molecule: ribosomal RNA, 497 nt
Filed under: uncultured bacterium
Lineage: Bacteria
Description: partial 16S ribosomal RNA
Rfam family: Bacterial small subunit ribosomal RNA
Source: RNAcentral
GAUGAACGCUGGCGGCGUGCCUAAUACAUGCAAGUCGAGCGAACGGACGAGAAGCUUGCUUCUCUGAUGUUAGCGGCGGACGGGUGAGUAACACGUGGAUAACCUACCUAUAAGACUGGGAUAACUUCGGGAAACCGUAGCUAAUACCGGAUAAUAUUUUGAACCGCAUGGUUCAAAAGUGAAAGACGGUCUUGCUGUCACUUAUAGAUGGAUCCGCGCUGCAUUGGCUAGUUGGUAAGGUAACGGCUUACCAAGGCAACGAUGCAUAGCCGACCUGAGAGGGUGAUCGGCCACACUGGAACUGAGACACGGUCCAGACUCCUACGGGAGGCAGCAGUAGGGAAUCUUCCGCAAUGGGCGAAAGCCUGACGGAGCAACGCCGCGUGAGUGAUGAGGGUCUUCGGAUCGUAAAACUCUGUUAUUAGGGAAGAACAUAUGUGUAAGUAACUGUGCACAUCUUGACGGUACCUAAUCAGAAAGCCACGGCUAACUACGUG